Molecule: ribosomal RNA, 422 nt
Filed under: uncultured prokaryote
Description: bacterial SSU rRNA
Rfam family: Bacterial small subunit ribosomal RNA
Source: RNAcentral
UGAGGAAUAUUGGACAAUGGAUGGAAAUCUGAUCCAGCCAUGCCGCGUGCAGGAAGAAUGUCCUAUGGAUUGUAAACUGCUUUUGUAUGGGAGCAAUAAGGUCUUCGUGAAGGCCGAUGACAGUACCAUACGAAUAAGCACCGGCUAACUCCGUGCCAGCAGCCGCGGUAAUACGGAGGGUGCAAGCGUUAUCCGGAUUUAUUGGGUUUAAAGGGUGCGUAGGCGGUUAUAUAAGUCAGCGGUGAAAUUUUUCAGCUUAACUGGAAACAUGCCGUUGAUACUGUAUAGCUUGAAUAUGGUUGCUGUGAGUGGAAUGUGUAGUGUAGCGGUGAAAUGCUUAGAUAGUACACAGAAUAUCGAUUGCGAAGGCAACUCACAAAGCCAUUAUUGACGCUGAGGCACGAAAGUGUGGGGAUCAAACA